UCUGGCGAAGUUGUUCGAAGCAUUUGGAGACGAAAGUUAUGGCCGAAAUUGCUCCAUUUAUCUCGCCUUUGAAGCGAAAGUCUGAUUAGCUUUCUCUGCUACACUUAUUGGUGAAACGAACAGGUAAAAUACUCUUUAUUUCAUGUUUAUUUGUGUAUUUAUUCGAGCUGACUUACGAGACGAGUUAAACACGUGGGCGAAUUUGCCGUUCACGUUUAACUUCGAUUUGGUGAAAUUCCUGCUCAAAUAUCAAGCGUAUUUCGUUGAAAGAAGCUUUAAAAACGUUCGUAUAUAGCUAACGUUGCUUAUGUUUUAUUUUAGAUGGAGUUUUUACGAGUUAAAACCAGUUUAAACGUCGACGAAAGCUGCGUACAAAAUAUGCAAUGCCACGUCUGAAAUUCCUCAAAUU
Paramuricea clavata is the source of this 409-nucleotide non-coding RNA. The record is from the annotation of a GenBank genome assembly. Lineage: Eukaryota; Metazoa; Cnidaria; Anthozoa; Malacalcyonacea; Plexauridae.